CCAUUGAAAUUCAUUUCAGCGUAACCCAAAUGUCAAGGAAAAACAGUUUCUGUAUUUUUCUAAUGCAGUGUCAACCUGAGAUAUUAAUGGUGUCUGAAGAAAAAUCGUGUUGCACUUCUGAAGGACCUCCCACACAUAUCUCUUGCAAGAUUUCCACUGCAGCAACAUAGACAGCUCCCAGUCGGAGCCAAAAUACACCUUUAGCCUCAAACAUCAGUCUUCCAGCAGCCUGAAUGACACAUAGCAAGGAGAAAAAGAAGAUGCUGAAACAGCACACAGGCGCCUGCAAUUUCUGUGUUUCCUAAGAGCUUGGGAAGGCUCCUGACAGCCUUUCCAUACUGACAGAAGUACUACCGCCCACUCUGUCAAAGGCAGUGAGAUACAUCAGAGCAGCAGGCUGGAAAUGGAGGAUUUGCUCCAGCAGCACACAGGCAGAAGCUGAAAGGAAACUCCUGGGAGGGAGGAAGGAACUCUGUGAUGAGAGGAAAUGGGGUUCAGAAAGAGAGCUACUGAGAGAUAUCCAGUGAAACCAGCCUCAUCCAUUUUACUGUCAGGAGACUUCAUUUGUUUAUUAUGGCCUCAUCCUCAUCAUAUUAACCACUGUGUUUUAUUAACAGAGUGAAUUAUCUUGCAGCUCUCAAUAAAUUACUGGCUGACAUUA
Cyanistes caeruleus (blue tit) is the source of this 661-nucleotide long non-coding RNA. RefSeq lists it as uncharacterized. NCBI's taxonomy places the organism in Eukaryota, Metazoa, Chordata, Aves, Passeriformes, Paridae. The record is from RefSeq and is a predicted model, not a curated record.